UACGUAGGUGGCAAGCGUUGUCCGGAAUUACUGGGCGUAAAGCGUGCGCAGGCGGUUUUGUAAGCCAGAUGUGAAAUCCCCGGGCUUAACCUGGGAAUGGCAUUUGGGACUGCAAGGCUGGAGUGCGGCAGAGGAGACUGGAAUUCCUGGUGUAGCAGUGAAAUGCGUAGAUAUCGGGAGGAAUACCGAUGGCGAAGGCAGGUCUCUGGGCUGACACUGACGCUCAUGCACGAAAGCGUGGGGAGCAAACAGG
This 253-nucleotide ribosomal RNA is filed under the name uncultured bacterium. RNAcentral describes it as "partial 16S ribosomal RNA". It matches the Rfam family "Bacterial small subunit ribosomal RNA", at positions 524 to 776 of the family's 1533-position model. The record is from RNAcentral.